This is a long non-coding RNA of Dromiciops gliroides (monito del monte), 2058 nucleotides long. RefSeq lists it as uncharacterized. The transcript has 3 exons. The record is from RefSeq and is a predicted model, not a curated record. NCBI's taxonomy places the organism in Eukaryota, Metazoa, Chordata, Mammalia, Microbiotheria, Microbiotheriidae.
UUUCUUCUUAAAGGGCCCGAGCUGAAAUGUGACGUUCUAGAGCAGCCCACGUGGCACAGGGCUGACCCCUGCGGUUGUCAGAAGCCCGGAUUCCAAUCUCCACUCUGGCCCUUAUUUGGGUGGCCUCAUUUAUGUAGUGAAGGCCCUCCCAGCCAUCCCGGGACCCCCAGAACUCCAUCCACUGGCAGUCCUUCAAUCAACAAGCAUGAAUUAAGCACUCACUGUGUACCAGGCAGGGUCCGUGCCCUCAAGGACGCACGAUCUAAUGGAAACACUAGAUCCUCUCCCCCACAUCGGCCACAUUCACAGUUACAUUGUAUCCAUGGGGGGGGGGGUGCUCGCGCGCACACACAUUCACACAGGCUUGCAAACAUACUCCAAGUCACUAACAGAGAAAUGCAGAUUAAAUUGAAGCGGGAAAGGGAUACGAAUUUAUAUAGCACCUGCUACGUGACUGCGAGUUCAGUGCGAUCAUUUCCCCACUUUACAGUUGAAAAAACUAAGGCAAACAAAGGUUGAAUGACGUCCAAGGUCACACAGCUCCGAAUGACCUGAGGCUACAUUUCAGCUCAUAUCUUCCUGAGUAUCUAAGAAACCCCUUUGGCCAUGCGUCCAAAAAGCUUCCAAAUUGUGCAAACACUUUGACCAAGCUGGCUGGACCAUCCCCUAAGGAGAUGAAAGACAGAAUACAUGGGGGGCAGCUAGGUGGCACAGUGGAUAAAGCACCAGCCCUGGAUUCAGGAGGAUCUGAGUUCAAAUCCAGCCUCAGACACUUGACACUAGCUGUGUGACCCUGGGCAAGUCACUUAACCCUCAUUGCCCUGCCAAAAAUAAAUAAAUAAAUAAAUAAAAGACAGAGGACAUGGGACUGAGCUGCACAAAGAGGGAGAACAUUAAGGAGACUCGAUGACUCUGCAGCAUCUCAAACCAGAGACCUGGGCUGCUGUCACCAGAGCAUUCACCUACUCACAGUCUGAGGAACAUCCCGAGGAAGGGUCUGCUCUUUUCCCAGCUUCCCCUCCUGAUAGCUGUCUAUCCACAGACAUCAUAUCAUCUGCUUCCUGUAAAAGGCAGUGGCACAGAGCGAGAAGAGAAGAGGGAGCCCAGCAAAGUUCUGGGGGACAUCCACGGUGAGGGCGGGUGACCUGGAUGAAGAUUUAACCAAGAAGCCUGAGAAGGAGCAGUCAGAGAGGGAGGAAGAGAACCAGGAGAGGGUGGGGAGCCCCAAAAGCCUAGAGAGAAGGGGGCUCCCCACAGCAUCUGAGGCCGCAGAGGGGCCUGGACAAUGAGGAUGGAGAAAAGGCCGCUGGACUCCAUAGCCUUGGACUCCAUCUCUUGAUCACUGGUGACUGGGCAGAGAGCAGUUUGGGUGGAAUGAGGAGCUCAAAAGCCUGAUUAUAAAGGGAGAAGAGAGCCCAAGGAGAGAGAGUGGAGGCCCCUCCUGCAGGCCCUUUUCCAGGAGUUUGACCACAAAGAGCAGAGGAGAUAGAAGAUGAUCCUUAGUGGGGAUGGACAUGGCAUGAUGAGGGGGCAGGGGAUCCGAGAGAGGAGGGCAAGGGAGCUCUGAAUUGCUUCACCGAAGGGUCAAGAUGGGGAGAAGAGGAGAGAGGGGCCGGUGCAGGGGGGAUGGCCUGGGAGAAAACAGAGGGGUCAAUCUGAGGAGGAAGAACAGAUAACUCAGCAGAUACUAAAAGAGGGCAGCCUCUUUGCUGUUCUUUCCUGAUCUAAGGCUCUGAAGCAGAGUGGUGAGUACUAGAUGUCCAGAGAUGCUGUUUCCUUUUGAUCAGAGCUGACCGAUGGUGUCCCUUUUUGGAGAAGAUGAUGUCUUCAGUAGUAUGUUACCUCAUUUGAUCCCUCUGGCAGUCAAGUACUGCUAUUAUUCCCUUUUAGUUGAUGAAGAAACUGAGGCAAACAAAAGUUAAGUGACUUUUCCAGGGUCACACAGCUAGUUGGUGCCUGAGGGCAAGAAGGAUGCUCAUUGAUUGACCGGCUUGGUUCUGAGUCUGCCCUAUCUUCCAAGGAAUUUUUCAUGCAUAAUGAAAUGUGAAUCACAGUGCU